Long non-coding RNA from Cimex lectularius (bed bug), 1235 nucleotides. RefSeq lists it as uncharacterized. The transcript is spliced from 3 exons. The record is from RefSeq and is a predicted model, not a curated record. NCBI's taxonomy places the organism in Eukaryota, Metazoa, Arthropoda, Insecta, Hemiptera, Cimicidae.
UACCAAUAUUGUAUAAAUUGCUUAUUACCUUUGUAGGCACAAAAUCGUUGUACUUUCCAAGAUGAACGAAUGUCUUACUUUCAGGUUUCCUUCACAACUGUCGGUAUCACGAUAUCUUUAAAAGAAAGGUUCGGCGAUCCUCUCAUUACCGAAAUUCAAAUGUCACGGUUCGUUACGAGAAACGUGCCAGAAUCGAUUUUGAUUAUUUGGAACGGGUGGAGACACGAGAAUAUGAAUUUUAAUCAUGCGGCUCGUCAGCCCAAUUUUCCGAAUGGGCGUCAAAGAUAUCUACGGAAUUUAUCUACAUGAUUAUCAUGCUCGCUCGUCGGGGAUCUCUAAGCUGGUAAGGGUGAUGUGAAAUCGUUGAAUUUGCACAAAUCACGUCGUACUUGUGAAAUCGCACGUCACCAAAUAAAUGGCUCUUUGAAGAUUCGUCAAUAAUGCUCAUCAGGUGAUAUUUUCAGCCCAACAGCCAGAGUUAUAGAGCACCAUGAUUAUCAAUGUUAUUGUUUCAUUACUUUUUUUUCAAAGCAGUUUUACAUUACUGUAAACAUUUACUGUACCUAACUUAUACAUUUUUCCUAGGGUAUUUCAACUAUAAAGUGCCAGUGGUUUUGAAAAAAAAAUUUGUAAAUUUGCCGGGUUUGAAUGCAGAUCUGCUGGAUUCGAACACAGGACCUACGCCGUGUCAACGCCUAACCCUUUGCGAUAACCGACGCCCUCAAAAUAAGACGUUUAUCGCUACAUUUCUACAAGUAAAUACGGUUUAUACAUGUCAAAAAACAAAAUUUAUUGAAUGUUCGUCAACAUUGUUUUUAACCUUGGGCAUUCCCGUUCAGUUUGAUCCAGUAACAGACCAGUAUUUAGAAUAGCCAGACAGUGAAACGCAUCUUCUCAAGAAGGUGCUAAUGUUGGCUUUAAUUAACUCCUUAGUAAGACGGAUUUAAUGGAGUUUUUCGGUUUAGGACAUUAUGACAGAAGAAGGACUACCGGGGCAUCUGUUAACACUGCCAUUUUCGGCUAUUCUACGUGGAAAUUUGAUAUGUUCAAAUCUUUGAAUGUACCACGCGGCACCAGAUGCCUGUCAAAUGAUACGGUUCUGUAUGAAUUGCAUCUUUUGGACGUGUGAACCGAAUGCUGAUCACCAUACAGUCAAACUACCAGAUUGGCCGGAUAACUACAGGGAGACAGAUGUAUAUGUCGUUUUCCUAGCGAGGAAGUAUUUCAAAGCAAUC